GCGUCACGUCGCGCUAUACAUGCAAGUCGAACGAACUCUGGUAUUGAUUGGUGCUUGCAUCAUGAUUUACAUUUGAGUGAGUGGCGAACUGGUGAGUAACACGUGGGAAACCUGCCCAGAAGCGGGGGAUAACACCUGGAAACAGAUGCUAAUACCGCAUAACAACUUGGACCGCAUGGUCCGAGCUUGAAAGAUGGCUUCGGCUAUCACUUUUGGAUGGUCCCGCGGCGUAUUAGCUAGAUGGUGGGGUAACGGCUCACCAUGGCAAUGAUACGUAGCCGACCUGAGAGGGUAAUCGGCCACAUUGGGACUGAGACACGGCCCAAACUCCUACGGGAGGCAGCAGUAGGGAAUCUUCCACAAUGGACGAAAGUCUGAUGGAGCAACGCCGCGUGAGUGAAGAAGGGUUUCGGCUCGUAAAACUCUGUUGUUAAAGAAGAACAUAUCUGAGAGUAACUGUUCAGGUAUUGACGGUAUUUAACCAGAAAGCCACGGCUAACUACGUGCCAGCAGCCGCGGUAAUACGUAGGUGGCAAGCGUUGUCCGGAUUUAUUGGGCGUAAAGCGAGCGCAGGCGGUUUUUUAAGUCUGAUGUGAAAGCCUUCGGCUCAACCGAAGAAGUGCAUCGGAAACUGGGAAACUUGAGUGCAGAAGAGGACAGUGGAACUCCAUGUGUAGCGGUGAAAUGCGUAGAUAUAUGGAAGAACACCAGUGGCGAAGGCGGCUGUCUGGUCUGUAACUGACGCUGAGGCUCGAAAGUAUGGGUAGCAAACAGGAUUAGAUACCCUGGUAGUCCAUACCGUAAACGAUGAAUGCUAAGUGUUGGAGGGUUUCCGCCCUUCAGUGCUGCAGCUAACGCAUUAAGCAUUCCGCCUGGGGAGUACGGGCGCAAGGCUGAAACUCAAAGGAAUUGACGGGGGCCCGCACAAGCGGUGGAGCAUGUGGUUUAAUUCGAAGCUACGCGAAGAACCUUACCAGGUCUUGACAUACUAUGCAAUCUAGAGAUAGACGUUCCCUUCGGGGACAUGAUACAGGUGGUGCAUGUUGUCGUCAGCUCGUGUCGUGAGAUGUGGGUAGUCCGCACGAGCGCAUCCUUAUUAUCAGUUGCAGCAUUAGUGGGCACUCUGUGAGACUGCGUGACAAUCGAGAAGGUGGGAUGACGUCAAUCAUCAUGCCCUUAUGACUGGCUACACACGGC
RNAcentral lists this ribosomal RNA (1197 nucleotides) under Lactiplantibacillus plantarum. RNAcentral's name for it is "bacterial SSU rRNA". It matches the Rfam family "Bacterial small subunit ribosomal RNA", at positions 39 to 1225 of the family's 1533-position model. Lineage: Bacteria; Bacillati; Bacillota; Bacilli; Lactobacillales; Lactobacillaceae. The record is from RNAcentral.